RNAcentral lists this ribosomal RNA (257 nucleotides) under uncultured bacterium. Its description in RNAcentral is "partial 16S ribosomal RNA". It matches the Rfam family "Bacterial small subunit ribosomal RNA", at positions 96 to 354 of the family's 1533-position model. The record is from RNAcentral.
UGGCGGACGGGUGAGUAACGCGUGGUAACCUGCCUUACACAGGGGGAUAACACCUGGAAACAGGUGCUAAUACCGCAUAAGCGCACAGGGCCGCAUGGCCCGGUGUGAAAAACUCCGGUGGUGUAAGAUGGACCCGCGUCUGAUUAGCUUGUUGGCGGGGUAGAGGCCCACCAAGGCGACGAUCAGUAGCCGGCCUGAGAGGGUGGACGGCCACAUUGGGACUGAGACACGGCCCAAACUCCUACGGGAGGCAGCAG